RNAcentral lists this ribosomal RNA (702 nucleotides) under uncultured bacterium. RNAcentral describes it as "bacterial SSU rRNA". It matches the Rfam family "Bacterial small subunit ribosomal RNA", at positions 9 to 709 of the family's 1533-position model. The record is from RNAcentral.
GAGUUUGAUCAUGGCUCAGAUUGAACGCUGGCGGAAUGCUUUACACAUGCAAGUCGAACGGCAGCACGGACUUCGGUCUGGUGGCGAGUGGCGAACGGGUGAGUAACAUAUCGGAACGUAUCCAAUAAUGGGGGAUAACUAAUCGAAAGGUUGGCUAAUACCGCAUACGCCCUACGGGGGAAAGCUAGGGACCUUCGGGCCUGGCGUUAAUGGAGCGGCCGAUAUCUGAUUAGCUAGUUGGUGGGGUAAAGGCCCACCAAGGCGACGAUCAGUAGCUGGUCUGAGAGGACGACCAGCCACACUGGAACUGAGACACGGUCCAGACUCCUACGGGAGGCAGCAGUGGGGAAUUUUGGACAAUGGGCGCAAGCCUGAUCCAGCCAUUCCGCGUGAGUGAAGAAGGCCUUCGGGUUGUAAAGCUCUUUCGCAAGGGAAGAAAACUUAGAUACUAAUAUUAUCUGAGGUUGACGGUACCUUGAUAAGAAGCACCGGCUAACUACGUGCCAGCAGCCGCGGUAAUACGUAGGGUGCGAGCGUUAAUCGGAAUUACUGGGCGUAAAGCGUGCGCAGGCGGUUUUGUAAGUCAGAUGUGAAAUCCCCGAGCUCAACUUGGGAACUGCGUCCGAAACUACAAGACUAGAAUAUGUCAGAGGGGGGUAGAAUCCACGUGUAGCAGUGAAUGCGUAGAGAUGUGGAGGAUAC